Molecule: small RNA, 78 nt
Filed under: Escherichia coli
Lineage: Bacteria; Pseudomonadati; Pseudomonadota; Gammaproteobacteria; Enterobacterales; Enterobacteriaceae
Description: partial RtT sRNA
Rfam family: RtT RNA
About the family: This family represents a bacterial cis-regulatory element known as RtT RNA. The exact function of RtT is unknown although it is thought that it may be involved in changing the cellular response in relation to amino acid starvation.
Source: RNAcentral
AUUCUGCCCAUGCGGGGAAGGAUGAGAAGCUUCGACCAAGGUUCGACUCGAGCGCCAGCGAGAGAGCGUUGCCGCAGG